RNAcentral lists this ribosomal RNA (978 nucleotides) under Triticum aestivum (bread wheat). RNAcentral describes it as "partial small subunit ribosomal RNA". Lineage: Eukaryota; Viridiplantae; Streptophyta; Magnoliopsida; Poales; Poaceae. The record is from RNAcentral.
AUGGCGUUGGGCGUGGUGGUUGGCGCCGCGGUUGUCGCAAUGUGGCUACUGGCCGGUGAGGCGCGAGGCCAGGCGCAGCUCCAGGUAGGGUUCUACGCGCACUCGUGCCCCCAGGCGGAGGUGAUCGUCAGGGACGAGGUCGGCAGGGCCGUCAGCGCCUACCCCGGCUUCGCCGCCGGCCUCGUCCGCCUCCACUUCCACGACUGCUUCGUCAAGGGCUGCGACGCGUCUGUGCUGCUGGACUCGACGGCCAACAGCACCGCGGAGAAGGACGCCCCGCCCAACAAGAGCCUGAGGGGGUUCGAGGUCAUCGACGCCGCCAAGAAGCGCCUCGAGGCCGCGUGCGCCGGGACCGUCUCCUGCGCCGACAUACUCGCCUUCGCCGCACGAGACAGCGUCGUCCUGGCCGGCGGUAGCCCGUAUGGCGUCCCGGCCGGGCGGAGGGACGGCAACGUGUCGGCGGCGUCCGACGCGCAGGCCAGCCUGCCCCCACCCACGGCGAAUGUGGCCCACCUCACGGAAGCCUUCGCCAAGAAUGGGCUUUCCCAGGAGGACAUGGUCACGCUUUCAGGCGCGCACACGAUCGGCGUGACGCACUGCAGCUCCUUCAGCGCGCGGCUGCACGGGUACAACGCCACCACGGGCACGGGCCAGGACCCGGCCAUGGACGGGGCCAAGGCGGCGGAGCUGGCGCGGCAGUGCUCACCGGGGAGCCCGAACGCGGUGCCCAUGGACGCCGGCAGCCCAGACACGUUCGACACGGGCUACUUCCGCGCCCUGCUGGCCAACCAGGGCGUCCUCGCCUCCGACCAGACGCUCACCUCCGACAACGCCACGGCGGCGCUCGUGGCUCAGAACGCCGGCAACGUCUACCUGUUCGUGACCAGGUUCGGCGACGCCAUGGUGAGGAUGGGUGGCAUCCGGGUGCUCACCGGCGGCGACGGCCAGAUACGCACCAACUGCAGGGUCGUGAACUGA